GGUUCCUUAACUUAAUAGGUAAAGUAUACUCUUGAUAAGGGUAUGUUCGACGUUCGAGUCGUCGAGGAAUCA
Molecule: transfer RNA, 72 nt
Filed under: Phyllosticta yuccae
Lineage: Eukaryota; Fungi; Ascomycota; Dothideomycetes; Botryosphaeriales; Phyllostictaceae
Description: tRNA-Ile
Rfam family: tRNA
About the family: Transfer RNA (tRNA) molecules are approximately 80 nucleotides in length.
Source: RNAcentral